UGUCAUGUGAAGAGCUACAUUCAAUAUU
Molecule: non-coding RNA, 28 nt
Filed under: Homo sapiens (human)
Lineage: Eukaryota; Metazoa; Chordata; Mammalia; Primates; Hominidae
Source: RNAcentral